This 280-nucleotide long non-coding RNA is filed under the name Mytilus galloprovincialis (Mediterranean mussel). The record is from RNAcentral. Lineage: Eukaryota; Metazoa; Mollusca; Bivalvia; Mytilida; Mytilidae.
AUGUAUUCCUUUUAUAUUUGAUUAGCAUUUUAAACUAGUGACUAUGUGUUGUGCAACUCUUUUUCCAUCAAUUUGAAAAUGAUAAUUAUUUCCGCUUUAAUUAGAACAGUAUUAGCCAUACUUACAUGGUUUCGACGUAAACUUUCUUUUGUUAAUAACAUUUUGUGCAUAAUUCAAUAUUUAAAGUCAAACUCUUUCCUUUUCAAAAUUAUUAGAAACGGACCCUUUCACCUAGACCCGUUUCUAAUAAUUUUGAAAAGGAAGGAGUUUGACUUUAAAU